UCUUUGCCUUCAUUUAUGACGAUCUUGAAUCAGUCAUACUCGUUCGCACUUCUGUUUCUAAAAAUGAAAUAAAAACAAAUUCUAAAGAACAGCAGAAUUUAAU
This is a long non-coding RNA of Acromyrmex echinatior (Panamanian leafcutter ant), 103 nucleotides long. The record is from RefSeq and is a predicted model, not a curated record. Lineage: Eukaryota; Metazoa; Arthropoda; Insecta; Hymenoptera; Formicidae.